Molecule: transfer RNA, 87 nt
Filed under: Verrucomicrobiota bacterium
Lineage: Bacteria; Pseudomonadati; Verrucomicrobiota
Also listed under: 1 other name
Description: tRNA-Ser
Rfam family: tRNA
About the family: Transfer RNA (tRNA) molecules are approximately 80 nucleotides in length. Their secondary structure includes four short double-helical elements and three loops (D, anti-codon, and T loops).
Source: RNAcentral
GGAACGGUGGCUGAGUGGUCGAAAGCACUCCCUUGCUAAGGGAACGUAGGGGUAACUCUACCGAGGGUUCGAAUCCCUCCCGUUCCG